UAUCGUUCGACUGAAUGUGAUCGUUUCAUAUAGUUUGAUGCCAGAGUAUGGAAAAGCUGAAUCCUAAUAUAACGCUAUAAUGGAAAUUGAUAAACAUUCAUUGGUUAAAGUUAAACCAAGCUUGAUUAGAAUAAUGUUCAUAGACUAUUAAAAUUAAAAAGGGUAGCUGCUUGACGCGCUUUGAAUCAACACCGUUUUAAUUAAAAAUGUAUAUAGCCGUGCUUUCGAAAUCUGGCCGUUGUAAAGUUCACUCGGACAGAAGCAGAACAAGCGGUACGUGGAUGAGAUAGAUAUUUAUCUAUAGGUGAGUUAUAAACUAUUUUUGUAUACCGCUUAUAUACUGUAGUCAUUGUCAAUAGCUGGGGGGAAUUAUAUGUAAUGAAUAGAAUAAUGACGAAUUUCGUCCUCUAACUUGUACUAAAAUAGUAAUAGAAAAAUAACUUAAAAUAUCGUGCAUAAAAAUAUGUCCGCCUAAGAUUCUGUUGAAGAGUGCAUUGAGAUAUUUCUGUAACCUCAGUCUCAGCCCAAAUAUGUAUUCAUGCCGCGCAGCGGGAAAUCGCAAUUCAAAGUCUAUUAACUGCUGAGUGCUCUCAUCUUUCCAAACAUGUUGUUAAUUUAAACUAUUUUGUACACAAAGAAACUAUGAUUCAAGUUAACCCAAAAUGAGCUACAUUUAAAGCUGAAAAUUACUUGUGUUUCGAUCUGCAUAUGAAGUGUUAUAUGCCUUAUGGUGCCCUGGACAAAUGUCCCAUUUGACACAGGAACAUUUUUAUGCAGCAAUUGUAAUUUUCAAGUGAAAUGUAUUGUUUUGGUACUCUAUUAAUCAAUAUAUAUGAGGGACAAUCACAUUGGAAACUAUCCAAAAAUUAUAUAAAUUGCCUAUUUGUCAUACUGUAGAAUAGAUAUUUACCAUUUGACACUGUUCUUGCAUUUAUUCAGUACAUACAAGACCUGUUGCAUUUAUUUUAAUUCCAGUUUAGUUGAUCAGGCUGAAAACUACUUGUGUUUCGAUUGCUGCAUACUAAGUGUUAUGGUGGGAUGACCCAUCCCUUGCCGCCCUGGACAAAUGUCCCAUUUGACACAGGAACACUGUUAUGAGCAAUUGUCAUUUUCAAGUGAAAUGUUUUGGUACUGUAUUAAUAUGAGGGAAAAACAUAUUGAAAACAAUCCAAAAAUUAUAUAAAUUGCCUAUUUGUAAUAGAAUAUAUAGAUAUUCACCAUUUGACACUGUUCUUGCAUUUAUUCAGUAUAUACAAGACCUGUUGCAUUUAUUUUAAUUCCGGUUUAGUUGAUCAGGCUGAAAACUACUUGUGUUUCGAUUGCUGCAUACUAAGUGUUAUGGUGGGAUGACCCAUCCCUUGCCGCCCUGGACAAAUGUCCCAUUUGACACAGGAACACUGUUAUGAGCAAUUGUCAUUUUCAAGUGAAAUGUUUUGGUACUCUAUUAAUAUGAGGGAAAAACAUAUUGAAAACAAUCCAAAAAUAUAUAAAUUGCCUAUUUGUCAUAGAAUAGAUAUUCACCAUUUGACACUGUUCUUGCAUUUAUUCAGUAUAUACAAGACCUGUUGCAUUUAUUUUAAUUCCAGUUUAGUUGAUCAGGCUGAAAACUACUUGUGUUUCGAUUGCUGCAUACUAAGUGUUAUGGUGGGAUGACCCAUCCCUUGCCGCCCUGGACAAAUGUCCCAUUUGACACAGGAACACUGUUAUGAGCAAUUGUCAUUUUCAAGUGAAAUGUUUUGGUACUGUAUUAAUAUGAGGGAAAAACAUAUUGAAAACAAUCCAAAAAUUAUAUAAAUUGCCUAUUUGUCAUAGAAUAGAUAUUCACCAUUUGACACUGUUCCUGCAUUUAUUCAGUAUAAUUAAAGACCUGUUGCAUUUAUUUUAAUUCCGGUUUAGUUGAUCAGGCUGAAAACUACUUGUGUUUUGAUUGCUGCAUACUAAGUGUUAUGGUGGGAUGACCCAUCCCUUGCCGCCCUGGACAAAUGUCCCAUUUGACACAGGAACACUGUUAUGCAGCAAUUGUCAUUUUCAAGUGAAAUGAUUUGGUACUCUAUUAAUAUGAGGGAAAAACAUAUUGAAAACAAUCCAAAAAUUAUAUAAAUUGCCUAUUUGUCAUAGAAUAGAUAUUCACCAUUUGACACUGUUCCUGCAUUUAUUCAGUAUAAUUAAAGACCUGUUGCAUUUAUUUUAAUUCCAGUUUAGUUGAUCAGGCUGAAAACUACUUGUGUUUCGAUUGCUGCAUACUAAGUGUUAUGGUGGGAUGACCCAUCCCUUGCCGCCCUGGACAAAUGUCCCAUUUGACACAGGAACACUGUUAUGAGCAAUUGUCAUUUUCAAGUGAAAUGUUUUUGGUACUCUAUUAAUAUGAGGGAAAAACAUAUUGAAAACAAUCCAAAAAUUAUAUAAAUUGCCUAUUUGUCAUAGAAUAGAUAUUCACCAUUUGACACUGUUCUUGCAUUUAUUCAGUAUACAGUAUACAAGACCUGUUGCAUUAAUUUUAAUUCCGGUUUAGUUGAUCAGGCUGAAAACUACUUGUGUUUCGAUUGCUGCAUACUAAGUGUUAUGGUGGGAUGACCCAUCCCUUGCCGCCCUGGACAAAUGUCCCAUUUGACACAGGAACACUGUUAUGAGCAAUUGUCAUUUUCAAGUGAAAUGUUUUGGUACUCUAUUAAUAUGAGGGAAAAACAUAUUGAAAACAAUCCAAAAAUUAUAUAAAUUGCCUAUUUGUCAUAGAAUAGAUAUUCACCAUUUGACACUGUUCUUGCAUUUAUUCAGUAUAUACAAGACCUGCUGCAUUUAUUUUAAUUCCAGUUUAGUUGAUCAGGCUGAAAACUACUUGUGUUUCGAUUGCUGCAUACUAAGUGUUAUGGUGGGAUGACCCAUCCCUUGCCGCCCUGGACAAAUGUCCCAUUUGACACAGGAACACUGUUAUGCAGCAAUUGCCAUUUUCAAGUGAAAUGUUUUGGUACUGUAUUAAUAUGAGGGAAAAACAUAUCGGAAACAAUCCAAAAAUUAUAUCAAUUGCCUAUUUGUCAUAGAAUAGAUAUUGACCAUUUGACACUGUUCCUGCAUUUAUUCAGUAUGAAGACCUGUUGCAUUUAUUUUAAUUCCGGUUUUUAGUUGAUCAGGCUGAAAACUGCUUGUGUUUCGAGUGCUGCAUACUGUUUGGGUAGGAUGACCCAUCCCUUGCCGCCCUGGACAAAUGUCCCGUUUGACACAGGAACACUGUUAUGCAGCAAUUGUCAUUUUCAAGUGAAAUGUUUGGUACUGUAUUAAUAUUAUAAUGUUCAAACUUAUUGGAAACAAUCGAAACUAAAAAUAUAUAAAUUGCCUAUUUGCCAUAGAAUCAAGUAUCGAGCAUUUGAUACAAUUCCUGCAUUUUGUCAGGUUAAAGACUUGUCGCAUCUAUUUCAAUUGCAUUUUAAUUGUAAGGCUGGAAACUGUAAGUGUGGUUGUGAGUUUCGAUUGCUGCAUUAUCCGCAUAUUAAUGUUAUGGUGGGAUGAGCUACUGUAUUUCUUGCCGCUAUGUACAAAUGCAUGAUUCAUUUGGCACAGAAAUACUGUUAUGCAGCAAUUUUCAUUUCAAAUUCAAAUGUUUUGAUUGUUUUUGUUUAAGCUAAGUAAAGUGCUAUUGUGAACAUUUAAUACACCCACACCCUUACAGCCCACGAGCACUUUCCCCUUGGCGCGGUAAUUUAUUGAAUUAUGUUUUUAUACUUAGCAAUCUCCUCACGCCAAAGGUUGACGUAUUGUUCAAAGUCAAGAUGGUAGAAUUUAAACUUGUAGUAACCACCACACCAGAAGAUGCUAGCUUUAAAGCAUUUGUUUGGAGAAAGAUAAGUCUAUCCUUGCGACAACAACAAAUCUCUUGGAAGCCCUGGUUAACCUUAUAUCAUGCAGAUUGUUAUUGAUGUAUUUGAUGCCAACUAUCCUCACUCUAUAUUUGAUAUGUUUAUGGCAAAUAGCCUAAUUGGACAUUUCUAUUACAAAUUGCUUACUUUAUCUGAUUGCAACAAUGUUUAUCCCAUUUGGAACUGGAGGAAGAAAAGACUGAAGCCUAGACUUGUGCGAUUAUAAUGGAUGUAACCUCGCAAAUAUGGCGUUGUAUUUUACUGCCAUAUUAAUAACUGUAUGAAAACGUCUGAUAUGAACAAUUUGCAUUCAUUUGUUAUAUUUGCAUGUUCUAUAUAAUGUAGAAUAUUUCAAUGUAUUACACAGCAGACCUUACAAGGCCGUUUUCAUAUUGAUAUUGUGUACAUUCGAAUUAAAAUAUUUUUGAC
RNAcentral lists this long non-coding RNA (4280 nucleotides) under Paramuricea clavata. Lineage: Eukaryota; Metazoa; Cnidaria; Anthozoa; Malacalcyonacea; Plexauridae. The record is from RNAcentral.